UGGGGUUUCGGCUCAGUGGUAGGGCGCUUGUCUUGCAUGCAUGUGGCACUGGGUUUGAUUCUCAGCACCACAU
Non-coding RNA from Ictidomys tridecemlineatus (thirteen-lined ground squirrel), 73 nucleotides. The record is from Rfam. NCBI's taxonomy places the organism in Eukaryota, Metazoa, Chordata, Mammalia, Rodentia, Sciuridae.